UGGGGUUGUGCGCCGCUCAAGCCCGUUUACCUGCUCCCCAGGCCGGCACCCAGGAUGGGCGAGGUGGAGGCCCCGGGCCGCUUGUGGCUCGAGAGCCCCCCUGGGGGAGCGCCCCCCAUCUUCCUGCCCUCGGACGGGCAAGCCCUGGUCCUGGGCAGGGGACCCCUGACCCAGGUCACGGACCGGAAGUGCUCCAGAACUCAAGUGGAGCUGGUCGCAGAUCCUGAGACCCGGACAGUGGCAGUGAAACAGGUAUCAGUGCCUCUGCAAGGGCCAGCAAGGCCUGGGGAUGGGAUUUGGGGAGGAAUUGCAAGCCGUCAGUGAAGGGGUACAUUAGGAAAAUCUGAUUGCGGCCGGGCGUGGUGGCUCAAGCCUGUAAUCCCAGCACUUUGGGAGGCCGAGGCGGGCGGAUCGCUUGAACCCAGGAGUUCGAGACCAGCCUGAGCGACAUGGUGAAACCUGUCUCUCUAAAAAAUUAGCGGGAAUGGUGGCGCGUCCUUGUAGUUCGUAAUCGGGAGGCUGAAGCGGGAGGAUCCCUUGAGCCCAGUAGGUCAAGGGUGUAGUGAGCAGUGAUCACCACACUGUACUUCAGCCUGGGUGACAGAGCGAGAACCUGUCU
RNAcentral lists this small RNA (619 nucleotides) under Pan troglodytes (chimpanzee). RNAcentral describes it as "retained intron". Lineage: Eukaryota; Metazoa; Chordata; Mammalia; Primates; Hominidae. The record is from RNAcentral.